Molecule: non-coding RNA, 27 nt
Filed under: Homo sapiens (human)
Lineage: Eukaryota; Metazoa; Chordata; Mammalia; Primates; Hominidae
Source: RNAcentral
UGCAGGAUUAGUACUACCAAAGUCGCC